RNAcentral lists this ribosomal RNA (1062 nucleotides) under Bacillus sp. (in: firmicutes). Its description in RNAcentral is "bacterial SSU rRNA". It matches the Rfam family "Bacterial small subunit ribosomal RNA", at positions 383 to 1439 of the family's 1533-position model. The record is from RNAcentral. Lineage: Bacteria; Bacillati; Bacillota; Bacilli; Caryophanales; Bacillaceae.
CUGACGGAGCACGCCGCGUGAGUGAUGAAGGUUUUCGGAUCGUAAAGCUCUGUUGUUAGGGAAGAACAAGUGCGAGAGUAACUGCUCGCACCUUGACGGUACCUAACCAGAAAGCCACGGCUAACUACGUGCCAGCAGCCGCGGUAAUACGUAGGUGGCAAGCGUUGUCCGGAAUUAUUGGGCGUAAAGGGCUCGCAGGCGGUUUCUUAAGUCUGAUGUGAAAGCCCCCGGCUCAACCGGGGAGGGUCAUUGGAAACUGGGAAACUUGAGUGCAGAAGAGGAGAGUGGAAUUCCACGUGUAGCGGUGAAAUGCGUAGAGAUGUGGAGGAACACCAGUGGCGAAGGCGACUCUCUGGUCUGUAACUGACGCUGAGGAGCGAAAGCGUGGGGAGCGAACAGGAUUAGAUACCCUGGUAGUCCACGCCGUAAACGAUGAGUGCUAAGUGUUAGGGGGUUUCCGCCCCUUAGUGCUGCAGCUAACGCAUUAAGCACUCCGCCUGGGGAGUACGGUCGCAAGACUGAAACUCAAAGGAAUUGACGGGGGCCCGCACAAGCGGUGGAGCAUGUGGUUUAAUUCGAAGCAACGCGAAGAACCUUACCAGGUCUUGACAUCCUCUGACAACCCUAGAGAUAGGGCUUUCCCUUCGGGGACAGAGUGACAGGUGGUGCAUGGUUGUCGUCAGCUCGUGUCGUGAGAUGUUGGGUUAAGUCCCGCAACGAGCGCAACCCUUGAUCUUAGUUGCCAGCAUUCAGUUGGGCACUCUAAGGUGACUGCCGGUGACAAACCGGAGGAAGGUGGGGAUGACGUCAAAUCAUCAUGCCCCUUAUGACCUGGGCUACACACGUGCUACAAUGGACAGAACAAAGGGCUGCAAGACCGCAAGGUUUAGCCAAUCCCAUAAAUCUGUUCUCAGUUCGGAUCGCAGUCUGCAACUCGACUGCGUGAAGCUGGAAUCGCUAGUAAUCGCGGAUCAGCAUGCCGCGGUGAAUACGUUCCCGGGCCUUGUACACACCGCCCGUCACACCACGAGAGUUUGCAACACCCGAAGUCGGUGAGGUAAC